ACAGGAGUAGCUCAGUUGGCUAGAGUACUAGACUGGGGGUCUAGGGGUCGCGAGUUCGAGUCUCGUCUCUUGUA
This 74-nucleotide transfer RNA is filed under the name Firmicutes bacterium HGW-Firmicutes-2. RNAcentral describes it as "tRNA-Pro". It matches the Rfam family "tRNA". From Rfam's summary of the family: Transfer RNA (tRNA) molecules are approximately 80 nucleotides in length. Their secondary structure includes four short double-helical elements and three loops (D, anti-codon, and T loops). Further hydrogen bonds mediate the characteristic L-shaped molecular structure. tRNAs have two regions of fundamental functional importance: the anti-codon, which is responsible for specific mRNA codon recognition, and the 3' end, to which the tRNAs corresponding amino acid is attached (by aminoacyl-tRNA synthetases). tRNAs cope with the degeneracy of the genetic code in two manners: having more than one tRNA (with a specific anti-codon) for a particular amino acid; and 'wobble' base-pairing, i.e. permitting non-standard base-pairing at the 3rd anti-codon position. RNAcentral also lists the same sequence under 4 other names. The record is from RNAcentral. Lineage: Bacteria; Bacillati; Bacillota.